UACGUAGGGUGCGAGCGUUAAUCGGAAUUACUGGGCGUAAAGCGUGCGCAGGCGGUUUUGUAAGCCAGAUGUGAAAGCCCCGGGCUUAACCUGGGAAUGGCAUUUGGGACUGCAAGGCUGGAGUGCGGCAGAGGAGACUGGAAUUCCCGGUGUAGAGGUGAAAUUCGUAGAUAUCGGGAGGAACACCGGUGGCGAAGGCGGCGACCUGGGUCGAUACUGACGCUGAGGCGCGAAAGCGUGGGGAGCAAACAGG
RNAcentral lists this ribosomal RNA (253 nucleotides) under uncultured bacterium. RNAcentral's name for it is "partial 16S ribosomal RNA". It matches the Rfam family "Bacterial small subunit ribosomal RNA", at positions 524 to 776 of the family's 1533-position model. The record is from RNAcentral.